AAAGGAUAGUUUAUUAAAAAUAUUAAUUUUGGAGAUUAAUGAUAAAAAGUUUAUUUUUUCCUUUGA
RNAcentral lists this transfer RNA (66 nucleotides) under Haliplus flavicollis. RNAcentral's name for it is "tRNA-Pro". The record is from RNAcentral. Lineage: Eukaryota; Metazoa; Arthropoda; Insecta; Coleoptera; Haliplidae.